AGAGUUUGAUCAUGGCUCAGGACGAACGCUGGCGGCGUGCUUAACACAUGCAAGUCGAACGGAAAGGCCCUUCGGGGUGCUCGAGUGGCGAACGGGUGAGUAACACGUGGGUGAUCUGCCCUGCACUUUGGGAUAAGCCUGGGAAACUGGGUCUAAUACCGAAUAGGACUGCGCUCUUCAUGGGGUGUGGUGGAAAGCUUUUGCGGUGUGGGAUGGGCCCGCGGCCUAUCAGCUUGUUGGUGGGGUAAUGGCCUACCAAGGCGACGACGGGUAGCCGGCCUGAGAGGGUGACCGGCCACACUGGGACUGAGAUACGGCCCAGACUCCUACGGGAGGCAGCAGUGGGGAAUAUUGCACAAUGGGCGCAAGCCUGAUGCAGCGACGCCGCGUAAGGGAUGACGGCCUUCGGGUUGUAAACCUCUUUCAGCACAGACGAAGCGCGAGUGACGGUAUGUGCAGAAGAAGGACCGGCCAACUACGUGCCAGCAGCCGCGGUAAUACGUAGGGUCCGAGCGUUGUCCGGAAUUACUGGGCGUAAAGAGCUCGUAGGUGGUUUGUCGCGUUGUUCGUGAAAACUCACAGCUUAACUGUGGGCGUGCGGGCGAUACGGGCAGACUGGAGUACUGCAGGGGAGACUGGAAUUCCUGGUGUAGCGGUGGAAUGCGCAGAUAUCAGGAGGAACACCGGUGGCGAAGGCGGGUCUCUGGGCAGUAACUGACGCUGAGGAGCGAAAGCGUGGGGAGCGAACAGGAUUAGAUACCCUGGUAGUCCAA
This 773-nucleotide ribosomal RNA is filed under the name uncultured bacterium. RNAcentral's name for it is "bacterial SSU rRNA". It matches the Rfam family "Bacterial small subunit ribosomal RNA", at positions 8 to 798 of the family's 1533-position model. The record is from RNAcentral.